Molecule: long non-coding RNA, 7658 nt
Filed under: Medicago truncatula (barrel medic)
Lineage: Eukaryota; Viridiplantae; Streptophyta; Magnoliopsida; Fabales; Fabaceae
Description: long non-coding RNA (MTRU_LNC001714)
Source: RNAcentral
AUUGGUUCACACUUUUGAUUGAAAAUAUUCCGAAACAUUAACCACCCAUCAGCGUGUUCAUCCAUUCACCCUCAUUUCAUUAUCUACCUAAAGGUAUCACCUUUCCCAUUUCUUUGUUUGUUCUUUUGUCUGUUCCUAUAUUUUGUUUUGUUCCUAAUAUCAAGAUUUGUUCUUCUGAAGUUUUGAACUGUCCUCCGUUCGAGCAACCCGCGAGACUAACCUUUGCUAUUAUAGAGAAGAAUUUUUAGGUAAGGGCGGUAUUCUGUACAAUUAUGAGCAUGUUUGGUCCUCCUUAUUUUCCACUUCUCUUCUAGUUUUAAGGAGAAGUAUGACCCAACACAAUUUUAAUAAAGUUCUUAAUAAUUGAAGUAUCUUUUUUUUGGAAGGAAAGAAAUGAAAUAGAAGUGACUUUUAAAAUAAGAUGUAAAAUUGAACUUUUGGCCAACUUUUCGGAGCUACCAUUCACUGCCCACACAUCGAUUCCCGCAGAAACUAGUUUUUAUUUUAUUUUAUUUUUUCUUGGCACUGUUCCCGCUGAUUUUAUUUUCCUUUUCAAGUAUACCCGCCAAAACACAUAACCUAAUUGUAUAUAUUCUGAUCCAACUUUCUCCUCCAUCCAUUCUCUGCUGUCUGCCGCUGCGGUCGCUGUCUAGUGCAGGUACAACAUUUUAAUAUUUGAUUCUCAUAAUUCUUACGGAUCUGAUUAAUUUUUUUGUCCUUUGUUCAUUUGUUAGUUUACUUUAUGCAUUUUAUGUGGAUAUGUAUGUACGUUUGUGUUUCAGUGCCUAUCAUGAUCAGCUUUUGACCUUUAAAUAAUAAUAGCAAUAUUGUUAAAUCAGAUUGUUAUAUCCAUGUGUUUAACAACCUGCUUUUUAUUUUGUACAUCUGAUCUGAUUGUUAUAUUCUUUUGUUUAUUUAUCAUGAUCAAAUUAGUAUUGUAGUAUUAAUUUCUAUUACUAUUAAUCUUCCAGUAGCAUUAUUAGCUUGCCUUUUGACGUUUAUGCAAUUGGUUAUUAUUAGCUUGCGUUUUGUCCUUUAGUGUUAAUUUGAUUGUUAUGCAUACCUCAAUUUAGAUUUUUUUAUGAAUUAUGUACUUUAGUAUUAAUUUGAUUAUAUGUAGCCAAUUAAAAUAUUAGUUUGGUAAUGUCAUUGUUUACGGAUGUCUUCUAAUAAGAUCAAUGAACAUUCAAGAAAAGUUAAAAAAAGAAAAUGCAUGUUUUAUAAAAUAUGUUAUGGGGCAGCGAUGAUUGCAUAUGACUAUCACAUGAAGUACUUACUGAAGCAAGAUAAUAGAUUUCUUUAUUCUCAUGGAUGGACUUGGGUUCGAGAAACUCUUACCACCCCAGGUGAAAGUUACAAUAUGUUUAAAAUGGAAACUCAUGUUGUAUUAAAACUUGAAAAGUUGUUAGUGAGGAAGGGAUGGUUGCACCCAUCACCAUGUUUAUAAUUUUUUAUUUGCUCUAAAAAAAUCAGGUCUUUACAAGAUUUUAAAUUUUAUAAAAAAAUGCCUUUUAUUUUAUUUAUGAGAAUUUAUAAUAAAAUCUCAAAACUCUUUUAAAAAUAUUUUACCAAACUGAUUUCAACUUAAAAGUACUAAUUAAGUUGGAAAAAACACCAAAUACCAAACAACUUUAACUUUAAAGUUGUAAUUUUCAACUUUAUUCUAAAAGUAACUUUUAGACCUCAAAUAAGUAGGGCCAAACGCACAUAGAGCCCUUAUCAUAAUAGGAUGAGAAGACUUGAAUAUAAAUAAGAGAAUGGAAUAGACAAUUUUUAUUGCAUUUCAUGUUUGAUAAAAAGGUCUCAUCUUUUGUGGCAUAGCAUGACAUUAUGAUUUGACUCUCUUGUGCUUUAGAGAAAAUGCUUUGAUGAAUGUGAUGAAUAUUUUGAAAGAAAGUUUGAAUAUCUUAGUUGAUGUUGUGAAAAUGGGGAUGAUUUCAAAGAGUGUGCAUCAUGCAUGCUGUAACACUCCUAUUUCUAUUAAAACAAUUAAACAUGCGAAUAAUACAUUUAUUCAUGAAAUAGAGGCUACGCCACAUUCAAAAUUCAAAAAAACAAAUAACAUGUAUAUAAACAUCAACAGUUGCAGCAGAAUAUAAACCAGAGUAAUCCAAAUAUAUACAUGUCAUGAAUCAAUAAAUCACAUCACAUAGAUGCAUCUCAAAAAUCCCAAACAAACGAGUAAUCUCCAACAUAACAAAAUCCAAAAAUAACCUAAUCUAGACCGACACAACAAGCCUAGAACAGAGCCGACUCAUCACCGAUAUUGGAGAAGGCUCCAGAUAUCCAUCAAGCACAAGAACUCACCAAGCAACUAAUCCUGCACAACGUCUACCCAUCCAUACAGAUAAGCAGGCGGUCCAGCACAGAUCCACUAGGGGUAAGUAUUACAUUAUCAUAAUCCAAAUAACAGUUAACAUGGAUAUUUCAAUUUAAACAUCAUGCACUUGAUCAAUAAUAAUCAUACAUUCAUACUUACAUCACACCUCAAUAUCUCACAUCAAUAUUCAUCAAUCAUAUGAACAAUUAUCAAUUCGCAAAUAUUCAUUAACAAUCACCAAUCACAUUUAUCAUGAAUAAUCAUUAAUCACAUUUCAUGAACAAUCAUGAAUAAUCAUUAAUCACAUUUCAUGAACAAUCACCAAUUACAUGUAUCAUGAACAAAUAUCAAUUCAAAAAUACUCAUUCACAAUCACCAAUCACAAAUAUCAAAUAAGACUCAUGUUAUGAUAUGCACUUAUUGAGACAUAAAUGCAUGUGGUACCAAAUAUCCAAAAAGGACGUCACCUCUGAUGGAACAACUCAACAUCGUAUGUAAGGGUUCACCCCCGCCUUACAUAAUCUCUGAAGUAAAAGAGCUCAACCCUUUUACAACUACACGACUAUGAUGCAUGGACAUGUAACAAGACUCGAUAAUGCGACAACAAUUACAAUUUUAUCCACAAUAUAUAGGACAACAUCCGAUUAUAUUGUUCAUCUUCACAUCAUUUGCAUUAUCAAGAAAACAUGCCCACACACAAUUAAAUCAUAACAUUCAUCAUCACCACAUCAACAUGAUCAUCAAUAAUCAACAAUGUCAUUCAACAUCAACUAUAUCAUAUAGUUUCACCAUUCCAAACAUUUAUCAUAUUCCAAGUAAGAGAACAUACAACAUCUCAUGACAAAUAUCAUAUCCAACAUAUCACCAUUCAACAUCAACUAUCACAUAUAGUUUCACUAUUCAAGCAUUCCUUACAUUCUAAGUUCUUAGCAUACACAUCUCAUGAUAAACAUCAUAUCUAUUACAAUCAUUCAACAUCAACUAUCACAUAUAGUUUCACCAUUCAAGCAUUCCUUACAUUCUAAGUAAGAUAGCAUACACAUCUCAUGAUAAACAUCAUAUCUAAUACAAUCAUUCAACAUCAACCACCGUUCAAGCAUUCUCAUAUUCCAAGUAAGAUAGCAUACAUAUCUCAUGAUAAACAUCAUAUCCCAUACAAUCAUUCAACAUCAACUAUCACAUAUAGUUAUAUAAACAUAGCCACCACAAUUCUCAAGACAAUUGGUUCAAGAAUAUUCCCGACUAAAACCAUAUCAAGUGGUCACCGACCAACAUUGACAAAACCCCAGGCAAAAUGACAUAGACAAGUUGAAAACGUUCAAACAAUCUUAAUCGAUAAUGUAAUCAUGAAGUUAAGUCGCCUCAGGAUCAUUAACAUUAAUCCAAGCACCACUUAAGUUCAUAUGAAAAUCCCAUUUUCACAACCUUUCACAUUCUCACCCGAAAUAUCACUUUUGAGUUUGUUUGUCAUCUAAGUGUAAUACUUUUUGAGUUUUUCAGCAACAACCCGAUUUUCGCUAGAUUUAUUUUUAAUUGUUUUAAUAUGUGUUUAUAUGUGCUUGUGUGUGAUUAAUUAUCAUUGGGUGCAUUUUAAUGGGUUUAAAGCAAAAAAGGGGUAUUUUGGUCAUUUUGUAAGUAAGGGUAAUUUAGUAAUUUCAUGGUGAGGAUUAUUUUUAAUGUUUCAGGUGAGAACCAUUAGUUUACUAAGUUACCAGUGUAGUAAUUAUUUUUUUUUUGAAGGAAUAGUGUAGUAAUUAGUUGUGAGCUAGUGAGUGAUCAUUAUUAUUAUUUUGCCGUUAAGUGAGUAGAAACAUUUUGUGAAUGGUUUAGUAAAUGGGUUAAGCCCAUUAAGGCUUUAAAGGUUGAGCCCAAUUGAGAGGAGCCUAUAUAAGUUAUAGUUUUUAGAGAAAAAUAGGUUUUCAUUUCAUUUCAUAAGAAUUUGAGAGAGGUAGAGAGAGAAAGUUCAAGAGAAUGAGCAAAAGGGUUAGAAAGGAGAAAGCUUGAAAAACCAAUUAGAGGUGAUAGAGAUUCUAGGAGCUAAAUUGAAGCUUUUCUAGGAUUAUUGCUUAUUGAGGUAAGGGGGUUAGAUUCAAUCACAAUCUCUUAGUUGUAGUUUCUACCCUAAUUCUUUGCAUAAGUGCUUAAUUGAAAUAAGUGAUUAGUUUGAAUUUAAUUGAUAAAAUUCGUGCUUAUGCUUUGAUGUGAUGUUUGGGUAUAUGAAUUUGUUGAUAAUCAAGUUGUUGAUGAUGAAAUUACAUGCUCAAUAUAUGUUUAUAUGUAUACUUUGUUGAUUUUGCUCAAAUUGGCAUAAAUUAAUGUUGUUGUUAUCCAUCGUGAUGAAUUCAUAUUUAAAUGAAGUUGUUGUUGAAUUAGAUAUGUUGUUGUUGUUGAUUUAUACCAUAGGUAUUCCAUUUUGUGAAGUUGUAGUUUCAAUUGGUGAAGUUGAGUUAAGUGGUUCAUGUGAAGGACCAAAAUGAAUUUUGUUACUUGAGGUUGUUGACUGAAUUUUUUAUGUUGUUGGAUGAAUUGAACCUAGAAGAAUUUAUGUUUUAAUGUUGUGGUUGUGUUAGUUGAGUAGUUUGGGAGAAAACGGAUUUUUCGUGUGAAAUGUCGAUGUUUAAGCGUUUUCGCCAAUAAGUGAUUAUCUGAAGUUUUUGAAAAUGAUUCUUGGGAUGGUUGUAACUUGAAAUAUCUGUAGAUUAUGAUAGAGCCAAGUGUCAGGAGCGUGUAGGCGAAAACGGCAUCAAAAUCCGAUUAACGGUUUGAAUUUUACGCGCGAAAUGGUCAAAAACGCACUUUUUGAAAAGCUGAUUCUGGACCUGAUACUGUCAAAAUAGUGCCGCGAUUUUGCAGCCGUGCCUCGAUUUAGAUGGCAAAAUGUUCAGUAGUUCUGGACAAAAAAACGCGCCGCGAUUUCUAAAAUCGUGACAUGAUUUUUGUGAACCAGAUCCUUCAUAUUUCACCCUUUCCACUUUGAACUGGGUUUUGGUAUAAAAAUGAAAGUUUUAAUUAAUUUUGUUAGCUUUCCAAUGGCUUUGGUUUGACUUAAAAAUGAUUUUUGGAUUUUGAGAUAUGAUGGAAUUACCCCAAGCAAGUCUUGGUAAAUUUUUAUGAAAAUUCAGCAUAACCGUUUCUAAGUCAAUCCAAAACUUAUUGAAUAUUUCCAAACCUCGAAACUGGAAGUACUAGGAGUUUAAUUAAGAGGUUUAAGAGUAUUUAACCUAUGUCUUGAUGAAUCUUCUUGGUUUUGUUUUGAAAAUGAAUUGGUUUUGCAAUAUGGAGGAAGUGAUACGAACUUGUCACAACUUUAUGAUUUUGACGAUUUUGUCUUGGUCGGCAGAAGUAGGACCCAACACAAUUUUAAUAAAGUUCUUAAUAAUUGAAGUAUCUUUUUUUUGGAAGGAAAGAAAUGAAAUAAAAGUGACUUUUAAAAUAAGAUGUAAAAUUGAACUUUUGGCCAACUUUUCGGAGCUACCGUUCACUGCCCACACAUCGAUUCCCGCAGAAACCAGUUUUUAUUUUAUUUUAUUUUUUCUUGGCACUGUUCCCGCUGAUUUUAUUUUCCUUUUCAAGUAUACCCGCCAAAACACAUAACCUAAUUGUAUAUAUUCUGAUCUAACUUUCUCCUCCAUCCAUUCUCUGCUGUCUGCCGCUGCGGUCGCUGUCUAGUGCAGGUACAACAUUUUAAUAUUUGAUUCUCAUAAUUCUUACAGAUCUGAUUAAUUUUUUUGUCCUUUGUUCAUUUGUUAGUUUACUUUAUGCAUUUUAUGUGGAUAUGUAUGUACGUUUGUGUUUCAGUGCCUAUCAUGAUCAACUUUUGACCUUUAAAUAAUAAUAGCAAUAUUGUUAAAUCAGAUUGUUAUAUCCAUUUGUUUAAAAGUCUGCUUUUUAUUUUGUACAUCUGAUCUGAUUGUUAUAUUCUUUUGUUUAUUUAUCAUGAUCAAAUUAGUAUUCUUUUGUCUAUUACUAUUAUUCUUUUUAGUAUUGUUAUAUGUUCAUAUUUUCUAAAGAAUAAGUAACAUUUAAGUAAUGUCUUGGAUUAAAAUCCUGGACAUUACAGUACCGCAUGCAUCUAGAAGAGUCUAGAACAUUGCAUGUAUUUGAGUAAUUGAUGAGCCGUGUCAUAAUUGAAUAUGCGACUUGAUGAAUUUGUGCAUUGGUGGAAUUCGGUGAAUGUUGUGAUUAUGUGGAUUGGUGUAUAUGUACAUUGGUGGAUUUUGUUGACUGUUGUGAAUAAUUGACUUGUGCUCUAAUUGCAUGGCUUAUUUGUUUGUGCUUAUACACUUGGUGAAACAAUUUGAUGAUAAUUAUUUGGAUAAAUAGUAGUGAGGUGAGAAUUUUAUAUGUAUGUGUAUAUAUGAUGUGGGGAUUGCUUUGAUUAUGAUGAUUGCUUACUUAUAACUUUGAAAUGAAUAAUAAGGUGGGUAACCCUUCUUUUAUUGUUGAUGAAUGAUGAGCUUAUGUCGAUGAUUUGAUUAGAGAUUGAAGAUGCUUGCUAUGCUAUGUUAGUAAUGUGAUAGCUUGAGAUGUAUGUGAUGGGGGAUAAUAAUCAUGUGAUGCUAGUAUUUUAGGAGGGAUGUUUAUGUAUAUGUGUUAUGUAUGAAAUCCUUGAAUGCUUAUGUUGUUUACGUUGAUUAUGAUUGAUGUGAAGCUUACACCUAGUGGAUCUGUGAUGGACUGCCUACCUGUUUGUAUGAUAGGGUUGACGGCGUGCAUGAUUAGUUUGUUUUCGGUGAGUUGCUUGGAUAGCGGGAGCUAUCUUCGUUAUCUCUUCUUGGAGUCUUAGAUGUAGGCUCUGAUCUAGGAUGUCUGUCUUUAUGAUUAUUCUAGAUUUUUUAUUCUGGACUUAUUUAUGUUGUGGAGACUUUCCCAAUUGUCGGGAUUUGGAGAAUUUAUAUGAUGAUGUAUUUUAAUCUCAUGGCAUGUAUACUUUGUGGAGAAAUUUUAUAUAUGUUUUAUUCGCGUGUUUUAUCGCUUUAAUAGAAAUAGGGCGUUACAGUUUUUCCUCUUCAGAAUCCUUCUAGUUUCGCCGAAGAACGAGGCUUUAAUAGAUACAUCGCUUUAAAUCGUGUUUUAUUCUCUUUUUCUGAUUUUCUUACUGUGGCGAGCGGCUAUUUUUUAUUUUAGCGUUGUUUCUCGCAGGGCAGCGUUAGUUCUGACUUCGUCGACAAAUUCGAGCUCUUCACGUAGAUUUGCAGUAUUGGCGGGGAAGUCGGUAUUGGCGUCAGUUCACGAUGUGAGUUAUGUUAACUCAAUGGGUAUGACCGCCUCCGUCCCGUAUAUGAGUCGAAAAGGUAACUCACCAGUGGUGGAGUCGGGAGUAGUUCUGUAGGCCCAG